AACUUCAAGUAGGCCCGAGCCACCUUAACUAAUACAAUAACCUGUCAUAUUCAUUCUUAUAAUUCUUAUAAUAAUAGGAAGGCAUUUGACUUUUAUCAGUCCAUAAGUAUAUUAUUAUUUGUUUACUAUGGAUUAUUGAGUUUUUUGUUAAUUGUUUCUACAAUAAUGAUAGUAAGAUGUUUUGCAUUCUAAAUGUGGUCCUUUAUAAAAACACAAACUAGUUCCUAGUUAUAGUAUCUGACCAUUAAGUGUUUUGGUUAUUUUGGCAGCUGGCCAGUUUAGUCUGAAUUUUACUGAAUGGCUGGUAUUGUAUUGUUACCGUUGAAAUUUGACCAAAGUUUUAUUUUUAAAA
Molecule: long non-coding RNA, 352 nt
Filed under: Mytilus galloprovincialis (Mediterranean mussel)
Lineage: Eukaryota; Metazoa; Mollusca; Bivalvia; Mytilida; Mytilidae
Source: RNAcentral